Molecule: transfer RNA, 72 nt
Filed under: Capra hircus (goat)
Lineage: Eukaryota; Metazoa; Chordata; Mammalia; Artiodactyla; Bovidae
Also listed under: 1 other name
Rfam family: tRNA
About the family: Transfer RNA (tRNA) molecules are approximately 80 nucleotides in length. Their secondary structure includes four short double-helical elements and three loops (D, anti-codon, and T loops).
Source: Rfam by way of RNAcentral
UCCCUGCUGGCUCAGCUGGUAAAGCAUCCACCUGGAAUGUGGGAGACCUGGGUUCGAUCCCUGGGUUAGGAA